Molecule: ribosomal RNA, 253 nt
Filed under: uncultured prokaryote
Description: partial 16S ribosomal RNA
Rfam family: Bacterial small subunit ribosomal RNA
Source: RNAcentral
UACAGGGGGUGCAAGCGUUAAUCGGAAUUACUGGGCGUAAAGCGUGUGUAGGUGGUUGGAUAAGUUAGAUGUGAAAUCCCCGGGCUUAACCUGGGCAUUGCGUUUAAAACUGUUUAACUAGAGUACUGUAGAGGAUAGUGGAAUUUCCAGUGUAGCGGUGAAAUGCGUAGAUAUUGGAAGGAACACCAGUGGCGAAGGCGACUAUCUGGAUAGAUACUGACACUGAGACACGAAAGCGUGGGGAGCAAACAGG